UUGUAAGGAUCACCAGUUAACCUGCAUUAACAAAAGACGUUUCAUGUCUCCAAAAUUGAACCCCACCAAGUUAAAAUUACAAUAUAAAUAUAUGAAGAAGAAACAAAAGUACCUAGGAUAAUCAAUGAAUAUGAGAAGUGUAAAAUAGGAAAAAGAAAUAAGAAAAAUAACAAGAAAUUAAAAGAUUGUUCUCUCAUUCCAUCAGGCAAAUGAAAAAGAUCCCAUUAGCAAAGUGCAAAAGGUAGAUGUUCAGCAAUAAAGU
Molecule: unclassified non-coding RNA, 262 nt
Filed under: Hevea brasiliensis (rubber tree)
Lineage: Eukaryota; Viridiplantae; Streptophyta; Magnoliopsida; Malpighiales; Euphorbiaceae
Source: RNAcentral